GCAUAGCACCUUGCAGACAUCUGUGGAAUCAGUUACAUCAGAACCAGCCCAAAGGCAACACACGCAAACAUCUUUGUUUGCUCACUCUUCUUGCCUCAGAACAUCCAGUAGAAAUAAGCAAAUGGCAUACAUACGAGGAAGAGAGAAAGAAAGCACAUGCGGAAGAGUAAAGCACAGGAGAUUAUCUGACAAGGGAACCUACAGCUUAAUACAACUCUCUUGCCAGUACAACUAUGCUAAGAAGAUUUGAUUAAGACGGGGGAGGGAAAAAAUCUCUCUCUCUCUCUGAAAAGACCUUUUACGAACAAAGACCCCGGUGUAGUCAAAACUGCAGCAGCAAAUCUUCUGACUACGGCAAGUUUAAAUCAGUCUCCUGAAUGAAACAAGUGCAACCAGUGAACUUCCUUGCCAAUGUAGGUCCCUUAUGGAAACAGAAAGGGGCACCCCGAGUUCCACUUCCUGGAGAAGGAAGAACCACCACUUCCCUUUUCCUUGGCCGGCACCGUGAACCCCCAGUAAUACCAGAAAUGGUCAAGCUUCAUUCUCACCCGAAUUCAACUGAAAGCAGAUUAAGGCUACAGAAGACUCCUCUUAACAAGUCAGUCUUUUUUUCUUUUUUUUUCUUUUCUUUUCUUUUUUUUUUUUUUAAAAAAAAACCUACUAUGAGUGUAUUGACACAAGUUAUCUCUGUUUUUCCCACAGAACAUAAAAAUUCCUGUCCUUCCUACAAGAACAACUAUAUGCAACUUCUAAGCACUAAAAAUUAAUUAGAAAAAGCAGGGCUUAGAAUGGGAUUAUACUGUAACAUUUACUGAAUUCACAUCUUGCUCAAAGAGCCAUGCCCUUCCUAAGGCAAAAUACUCUCUCUGUUUACAGUAUUGCUACAGCCAGUCUCAGUUCCUUUCUAAAAUACUUAAGCCUGUGUCUAUGGAGCUGAUCACCAGUGCAGUCAUUUCCUUCAGCAUAGUUUGGAGAGCAGCAGGAAACAUGGCUCUCAACAAAUGCAGAAAUACCUUACAUGCACAAACGAGACAGAAUCUACUAGCCACUACGAGUCUAUUUUAGAAGUCUGGCUAAAAAAGUUCUAUUUUAACUUAACUAUGGUGAAUGCCUCCCAAGAUUAAGGGCAUUCCAAUCAAUAAUUCAAAGUUAAGUAUUUUUCUACAAUAUAAAACCAGGACAAACUCUUCUUCUGGCCAUGCCUUUUUUUUUUUUUUUUGCGCAAAACUGAAGGAGAAUGUUAUAUCCAGUUCACAGAAAUUAGGUCACCCAUUUCAUAAGCAAAUAUCAACUACACGUGUAAGUUUGUACGCAUUUUACAGGGACUUUCCCUUAACAGAAAAUUGGAAGAGAUUUAUCACAAAUUCUGCAUUCUAGAAUAAAUAUAAAUGCAGGAGGAAGGAAGUUCGUAUU
RNAcentral lists this long non-coding RNA (1413 nucleotides) under Dromaius novaehollandiae (emu). RNAcentral's name for it is "lncRNA (ENSDNVG00000016402.1)". The record is from RNAcentral. Lineage: Eukaryota; Metazoa; Chordata; Aves; Casuariiformes; Dromaiidae.